UACGUAGGGUGCAAGCGUUGUCCGGAAUUAUUGGGCGUAAAGAGCUCGUAGGCGGUUUGUCGCGUCUGCUGUGAAAACCCGAGGCUCAACCUCGGGCCUGCAGUGGGUACGGGCAGACUAGAGUGCGGUAGGGGAGAUUGGAAUUCCUGGUGUAGCGGUGGAAUGCGCAGAUAUCAGGAGGAACACCGGGUGGCGAAGGCGGUUCUCUGGGCCUUACCUGACGCUGAGGAGCGAAAGCGUGGGGAGCAAACAGG
RNAcentral lists this ribosomal RNA (254 nucleotides) under uncultured bacterium. RNAcentral describes it as "partial 16S ribosomal RNA". It matches the Rfam family "Bacterial small subunit ribosomal RNA", at positions 524 to 776 of the family's 1533-position model. The record is from RNAcentral.